GUCGAGCGGACAGAUGGGAGCUUGCUCCCUGAUGUUAGCGGCGGACGGGUGAGUAACACGUGGGUAACCUGCCUGUAAGACUGGGAUAACUCCGGGAAACCGGGGCUAAUACCGGAUGGUUGUCUGAACCGCAUGGUUCAGACAUAAAAGGUGGCUUCGGCUACCACUUACAGAUGGACCCGCGGCGCAUUAUCUAUUUGGUGAGGUAACGGCUCACCAAGGCGACAAUGCGUAGCCGACCUGAGAGGGUGAUCGGCCACACUGGGACUGAGACACGGCCCACACUCCUACGGGAGGCGGCAGUAGGGAAUCUUCCGCAAUGGACGAAAGUCUGACGGAGCAACGCCGCGUGAGUGAUGAAGGUUUUCGGAUCGUAAAGCUCUGUUGUUAGGGAAGAACAAGUGCCGUUCAAAUAGGGCGGCACCUUGACGGUACCUAACCAGAAAGCCACGGCUAACUACGUGCCAGCAGCCGCGGUAAUACGUAGGUGGCAAGCGUUGUCCGGAAUUAUUGGGCGUAAAGGGCUCGCAGGCGGUUUCUUAAGUCUGAUGUGAAAGCCCCCGGCUCAACCGGGGAGGGUCAUUGGAAACUGGGGAACUUGAGUGCAGAAGAGGAGAGUGGAAUUCCACGUGUAGCGGUGAAAUGCGUAGAGAUGUGGAGGAACACCAGUGGCGAAGGCGACUCUCUGGUCUGUAACUGACGCUGAGGAGCGAAAGCGUGGGGAGCGAACAGGAUUAGAUACCCUGGUAGUCCACGCCGUAAACGAUGAGUGCUAAGUGUUAGGGGGUUUCCGCCCCUUA
This 800-nucleotide ribosomal RNA is filed under the name Bacillus amyloliquefaciens. RNAcentral describes it as "bacterial SSU rRNA". It matches the Rfam family "Bacterial small subunit ribosomal RNA", at positions 61 to 842 of the family's 1533-position model. Lineage: Bacteria; Bacillati; Bacillota; Bacilli; Caryophanales; Bacillaceae. The record is from RNAcentral.